Molecule: non-coding RNA, 782 nt
Organism: Paramuricea clavata
Lineage: Eukaryota; Metazoa; Cnidaria; Anthozoa; Malacalcyonacea; Plexauridae
Source: the annotation of a GenBank genome assembly
CGUAAAUUAAGUUUAAUUUGUGUGUCUUUUUGUGACUGAUGUGACAUAUCAAUCGUGACUUCAUCAUGUCCAUUUUAUCGAUGUUCAAUGUUUUUCUUUUCACAGCCAACAUGACGACAUUUGGACCAAAAAUUGUCACUACACUCCCAAAAAACAAGCGGUUUCAAGAGGGACAUGCAAUAACGAUGAAAUGUGCCGCAGCCGGAAGGUAUGUGUCUCUAGUUGAUAGAUGCGUGAUUAUUUAGUGUUAAUAAUAUUUAUUAUUUAAAGAUAUGUAUACAAAGUGGCCUUUCACAUUUGUGAUUGUUAAAGGACUGUGUAUCACACAAAGGAAUAUUACAAAAUGUCCGGGCCCGCAGUAAUUGGUUUCAGGCUGUUGCGGAUACCCAACCAUCAACUCAGUUUAUGUCAUUGUGUUAUGUAUGUAUAUGUGUGUAUGUGUGUAUGUUUCUGUACAGGAGUGAUGGAAAAGCAAUUAAAUUAAAUAAAAAUUAAGAUUUAUAUUAAUAGGGAGUCAUCCAAACUAACUAGUUGAUUACAGAGAUGGAUUUACUGGUGGAGUGCACCCCCCCUUCCAGCCCUGGCCAGAGGGGGUGCAGGUGGGGGGGGGGUGCUAUUUUUCAUGAUAAAGCAAAAAAUUAUUAGAGACAAAAUGAGAUACAGUAAUUUGAGUAAUAACAUGAUGAUAAGCGAACUGUGAACAACAAUUACAAUUCAAAUACAGUAGUCAAGCAAGACUUUGCAGUAGUCAAGCAAGUUGAUGGGCUGGCGGCACACAUGAC